UGGUCACUGGUCAUCGUCUUCUACUUGUUUAUGAUCAGCUACUCAUUUCCUUCACCAUAUUCUUCUUCAGUCGUUUCAAUCUCAGAAUCUAAAUCUUAAAUGGCUGAGGCCAUAGUAGGUUUUGUGAUCGAAAGGCUUGGAGACUUGCUCAUAAACGAAGCUAACUUCUUGUAUGGAGUGAGAGACCAAGUCGAGGAUGCAAAAGCCGAGCUCCAACGAAUCAAAUGCUUUCUCGAAGACGCAGAUGCCCGCGCGAGGCAAGGAGACAAGUCUCUUCGCCUUCAUGUCUCUGAAAUUGGUGAUGCUGCUUAUGAUUUGGAGGAUGUCAUCGCCACUUUCGUCCUGAAAGAGUCCGCUAGGUCUGGUAGUAGUAGUAGCAGUGGUAGUUUUAGUAGAAGGCUCUCUUGUGGCAACUUCAUCGAUCUUCAUAAGGUUGGAUCGAGAAUCGAUAAAAUUUCUGCUAGGAUUUCUAAGUCCAGGUUGAGUUUUCAAGCUUAUGGGCUGGUUAAAUCGAGGGGAAACGAUGCUUCAACUUCUUCCAGCGUCGACAGGCAAAACUUUAGGCGAACCUUCUCUCACAACGUCGAUUCUGAUUUCGUUGGGUUUGAGGAAAACAUCAGCGAAUUGGUGGGGCAUUUGAAGAAACAAGGGAGAAAUCUGCAUAGUGUUGUGUCCAUUUGUGGGAUGGGUGGUCUUGGAAAAACUACUCUUGCUAGACAGGUGUACUAUCAUGGUGAAAUUAGGCGUCAUUUUGAUUGUUUUGCUUGGGCUUCUGUAUCUCAAAGAUGCCAACCCAGGGACGUUUGGGAAGGGAUUUUGAUUAGACUGACUUCUCCUGCAGCAGAAAGAAGGAGAGAGAUCAAAGGAAUGAGAGACGAUGAAAUAGCCAAGGCUCUUUACAAGGUUCAUACAGAAAAAAGGUGUCUUGUUGUUCUUGAUGAUAUUUGGAAUGCUUCAACAUGGAACUGCCUCAAGCAUGCUUUCCCCAAUGUUAGGUCAGACAGUAAAAUACUGCUCACCACUCGCAAUAGAGAGGUGGCCUUCCAUGCAGAUCGAAAUAGCAUUCUCCAUGAGCCCAGAUGCUUUAACACAAACGAAACAUGGGAGUUGUUUAUGAUCAAAACUUAUUUUGGAGGGGAUGACACAGAUUCGGAAGAUUACAAGAAGAAGAAAAAGUUAGCAGGGGAGAUGCUUGAAUACUGUGGUGGUUUGCCAUUAGCCAUUACAGUGCUCGGAGGACUUCUAUCUCGUAAACAAACUGUGGAUGAGUGGGAGGCGUUGCAUAAGAAUAUUAAGACAUGUAUAAGGAAAGGAAAAGUAAAUGAGCAAGAAGAUUCUAACUUUGGUCUCUCUUGGGUGUUGGGUUUAAGUUAUGAUGAGCUACCAUACCAUUUAAAGCCGUGCUUUUUGCAUUUAGCUUAUUUUCCAGAAGAUUUUGAAAUAAGGGCUAGAGAUUUAUGCCUAGUAUGGUUGGCAGAAGGCUUUGUAUCGAACGAGGAAAGAGCAUAUGAGUGCUUAAGUGAGUUGGUUGAGAGGUGCAUAAUUCAAGUGGCAGAGUGGAGCUCAACUGGCACAAUUAAAACAUGCCGUAUCCAUGACCUCAUGCGGGAUUUGUGCUUAUCAAAGGCUGAGGAGGAAAAUUUUCUGCAGCAUGCUGAUCUACGUAAUCAUCAUGAGGUAACAAAUUCUUCCUCUGUUGGAGCUGCAACAAAUUUAGAGCCAAUUAAUAAGAUUCGUAGACUUGCCAUCUAUUCGAACAACAUUGGUACUGAUGAAUUGCUUUCUUUGAUAAGACAUAAGGAUGGUUGCCUUAGGUCUCUAAUAUGCUUCAAUUCAGAACCAGAUACAUCUUAUGAGCGAGUAAUGAAGCCACUGCUCAAUCAAUUCCAUUUGCUUAGAGUUUUGAAGUUUGAAAAUUAUACUCACGGUCAUGUUGGAAAGUUGCCUAACGAAAUUGGAAAUCUUAUUCACUUGAGGCUAUUUAGUCUCAAGGAUAGUGAUGUGGAAAAGUUUCCAUCAUCCAUAGGCAAUUUGAGAUGUCUGCAAACUUUAGAUUUGAGGGUUAAAGACCUGUAUAAUCACAAACGACUUCAACUUUCAGAAAUACCACCUGUCCUUUGGAAAUUAGAGCAGUUGAGACAUUUGUAUCUGCCUCAAAACUAUUUGACAAGCCUUCAGAGAAGCCAUUUUACAGCUACUCACUUUGAGAGUAUUUUGCGGUUGGGUGAUCUAACCAAUUUGCAAACAUUGGUGAAUGUUUCAGCGAAUUAUUAUUUUUUGAAUAAUUUGGAGAAACUAACCAAUCUUACCAAAUUAAAAACAAAUUUGGGUUCUUGCUUCCAGGGCACAAGAAUUAAAUUUAAUAAUCUUAGAUCUCUAUCCAUUUAUUAUAAGGAUAUCAUUGAAGGGGAGUACGAUGAAGAUCAGCUUCCAGCAAGACGAGUACCUAAAUUCUCUCACUAUGAGAUAAUACUUCUUUUACUGAGCUGUCCUCAAAUUUAUAAACUUCAUCUGCAUGUUCCAAUUGAGAAGUUACCGGAAGAAAAUCAAUUUUCUUCAAAUCUCAUCAAGUUAACGCUGCUUCGAACUCGUCUUAAGGAUGACCCAAUGGAAACAUUAGAAAAGCUUCCAAGUUUAAGGAUUCUCCUCCUCGAUCAUAAUGCCUUCCUAGGACAGAAAAUGAUUUGCGCCAGUAAAGGUUUUCCACGACUUGAGUCUCUUUCCAUCUGUUAUCUUUAUGAUUUCAUAGAGUGGAAUGUGGAAGAAGGGGCCUUGCCUAGCCUUAAUCGCUUGCAUAUUGUAAACUGCUUAAGGUUGAGGACAGUUCCGGAUGGCCUGAGAUAUGUUAUUACUCUCAAGGAAAUUGUGAUCAAACACAUGCUUAGGCAAUUUAAAAAGAAGGUUGAACAAGGAGGAGAGGAUUUCUACAAAGUCCAACAUGUGCCUUCCCUUGUAUUCACCAAUACUUUGGACUUCUAGCUAGCUGGAUUGAUUAAUGAUUGUCUGUAACUGAUAGAAGUUCUACAGGUGCCCUGUUUGGAAGUAUGAAAUGAAGCUGUUAAAAAAGAACAAGGCGUCUUUGCCUUAAUACUAAACAUGCAAUGCAUGCAGUGUCAUGGGGGAGGUGAAGUAGAGCCGGUGUGAAGUAGUGAUAAUGAUACCCUUAGUUCUCCUAAAGGGAGUAACAAUAAUCCAAGCUGAGAAGAACUAAAGGAGCUGUUGUCUGUUUUGCCUCAUGCUCGUGCGAAGUAAUGGUUUGAAUUUGAUGUUGACACUCGCUGGGACAUUGUAAAAUAGAGGAGUUGGGAGUGGUAAACAUGGCUAGCUAGCUUCAUAACUGCUCUCAGGUUCGAAACCCAGCAACUACACUAAAAAAAGCUCUGUUGUCUCCUGGGACCUGGCAGUGGGGCCCGCGGCAUAUCCAAAGUUAAAAAAAAAAAAACAAGAGACUGCAAACCAAAGUCACUGUCAAAUUAUUGCAGGAUUCUAUCGUGGCGGGCUCUUAGCUAGGUACCAACAAAAGAUGUUGUAGUUCUGGAGAGCAUCCUUCCGAUAUCAAAGGCUAUAAGUUCAACUCUGGCCCCGCUUUGUUUUGUGGCUUUCAAUCCAGAGGUCCUCAGGUCAACCCUUUUGAAAAAGUAACUUAUUCCUCUUCUCUUCUCUUCUCAAUGUAUUUCUCUAUAAUUUAUGGGAAUGAAGAUAAAUAAAAAUAGAAAUUUAAUAUGUU
Molecule: RNA transcript, 3727 nt
Organism: Humulus lupulus (European hop)
Lineage: Eukaryota; Viridiplantae; Streptophyta; Magnoliopsida; Rosales; Cannabaceae
Gene name: putative disease resistance protein At1g50180
Exons: 4
Source: RefSeq, a predicted model, not a curated record